CCUACGGGUAGCAGCAGUGAGGAAUAUUGGUCAAUGGACGCAAGUCUGAACCAGCCAUGCCGCGUGCAGGAAGACGGCUCUAUGAGUUGUAAACUGCUUUUGUGCGGGGGUAAACGCAGAUACGCGUAUCUGUCUGAAAGUAUCGUACGAAUAAGGAUCGGCUAACUCCGUGCCAGCAGCCGCGGUAAUACGGAGGAUUCAAGCGUUAUCCGGAUUUAUUGGGUUUAAAGGGUGCGUAGGCGGUCGGAUAAGUUAGCGGUGAAAUCCCGAGGCUCAACUUCGGAAUUGCCUCUGAUACUGUUCGGCUAGAGAGUAGUGACGGUAGGCGGAAUGUAUGGUGUAGCGGUGAAAUGCUUAGAGAUCAUACAGAACACCGAUUGCGAAGGCAGCAUACCAAGCUACUUCUGACGUUGAGGCACGAAAGCGUGGGGAGCAAACAGGAUUAGAUACCCGAGUAGUC
Molecule: ribosomal RNA, 460 nt
Filed under: uncultured bacterium
Lineage: Bacteria
Description: partial 16S ribosomal RNA
Rfam family: Bacterial small subunit ribosomal RNA
Source: RNAcentral